UAGUGAGUGGGAGUUCAGAGAUGGUGAACGGGGUUGCUCUCUUAGAUAGGGUAGUCAGCCAAUGACUCUCUGAAAGGGUGAUAUUUGAGCAAAAUCAUGAGUAAAGAGGGAUCUAGCGAUAUCUGAAGGAAGCACAUUUCAGACAGAAGGAACAGUUAAUUUGAAUGCCUUGAAGAGGGGACGUGACUGGUUAUUUGGGGAACAGCAACCAGCAGGGGAGGAUGUGGUGGCUCCAGAGCAGAAACAAGGGGGAACAAGGUUUCCAAAUGGAGCUGUCCAUUAAAUAGUUUAAUCUAUGGUUCUGGAGCUCAGAAGAUAGGACUGGGCUGAAGGAAAGAACUAGUUCCAGGAGGCAGUCAAAGAUGGCGGAGCGGUCAGACACUUCAUAACGUCCCUCUUACAACAAAGACCGGAGAAAACAAGUGAAUCGGAUAUGGAUGACAACUGUGAAACUCUGAGCAUCAAAGACAAGGCUGAAGAAUUACACCAAACGCCAAGUGGAAAGAGAGACAGCACAAAAACAGCAGACACGGAGAAUUACAGAUCACUGGCAUCCUAGCAGCUGAACGUUCUCAGCCAAAACCCCCAUCACCUGGUGCAGUCAAGCAGAAGUGACUCUGCACUCACACCCAGUGCCAGGGAGGAGUGCUGCCCACCCUGGGAAAGUUAAGUGCAUGCAUCUCACCUACCGUGCCCACUCCAGCCCCCCCAUGCUGGAGGCCUAUGGGCCUGCGGGCCCCCCAAAACUCCUCGCCCAUCCCCCCUGCCUACAAGUGAUCUCAGUCUGGCAGCAUCCAUCACUGCCCCAGCCCCUAAGCUGGGAGCCCACAGACUGGAGGUGCACCCGUUUGCUCAGCCACUUAUGCUGGGGGACCACGAAUUGUAGCAUCUCCUACUCCCUCCAGCCACCUGUGUUGGAGGACUGAGGGCUGGUAGUGCCUUCUAUUCCCUCCAGCCACCCAUGCUAGGGAUCCGAGGACCAGUGAUCCCUCUUACUCCCCAAAGCUACCUGUGUUGGGGGCCUGAGGACCAGCUGCACAACCUCUCCCCUGACUCGCACUAUCAGUCAGGGGCUUGUCCUUUAGCCGGGCAUCCCACUAGACAAGUGACCUCCCACAGCCUUGCCUCACACAUAGUCCCCCAGCCCUGCAACCAGAGGUUUGUGCCUGUUCCAAACACCCUUGGAUAGCCCUGCUCGCCCCGGACUGUCAACGAGAGUUUCCGCAUCACCCGCCCAGUGAAUGAGCACCCGGGCAUCCUUGCCCUGACCACUCGGCAGCUGGCAGAGUGCACACACAACACCCAACCCAGUGAUAAGAGAGAAUGCCCCCGUACAUACCUUAAUAAAGAAAUACUAUAUUGCUAAAAAAUGCUAACCAUCACCUGAGCCUUCAGCAAGUUGUAAUCUUUUUGCUGGUGGAGGAUCUUGCCUCAAUGUUGAUGGCUGCUGACUGAUCAGGGUGGUGGUUGCUGCAGGUGAGGGUGGCUGUGGCAAUUUCUUAAAAUAAGGCAACAAUACCACAUCAAUUGACUCCUCCUUUCAUGAAAGAUUCCUCUGUAGUUUGUGAGGCUGUUUGAAAGCAUUUUACCCACAGUAGAACUUCUUUUAGUGUUGAAGUCAACCCUUUCAAACCCUGCUGCUGCUUUAUCAACUAAGUUUAUGUAAUAUUCUAAAUCCUUUGUUGUCAUUUCAACAAUGUUCACAGUAGCUUCACCAGGAGUAGAGUCCAUCUCAAGAAACCACUUUCUUUACUCAUCCAUAAGAAGCAGCUCCUCAUCUGUUAAAGUUUUAUCAUGAGGUUGCAGCAAUGGCAGUCACAUCUUCGGGCUCCACUUCUAAUGCUAGUUCUCUUGCUAUUUCCAACACAUCUGCAGUUAUUUCCUUCACUGAAGUCUUGAACCCCUCAAAGCCAUUCAUGAGGGGUGGAAUUAACUUCUUGCAAACUCCUGUUAAUAUUGAUAUUUUGACCCCUCCCAUGGAUCAUGAAUGUUCUUAAUGGUAUAUAAAAUGGUGAAUCCUUUCCAGAAGGUUUUCAACUUACUUUGCCUAGAUCCAUCAGGGAAAUCACUGUCUAUGGCAGUUAUAGCCUUAAAAAAUAUACUUAUUAAAUAAAUAUACUUCUUAAAUACUUCUUGAAAGUUGAAAUUACUCCUUGACCCAUGGGCUACAGAAUGCAUGCUGUGUUAUCAGGCAUGAAAAUAACAUUAAUCUCCUUGUACAUCUCCAUCAGAGUUCUUGGGUGACUAGGUACAUUGUCAAUGAGGAGUAAUAUUUUGAAAGGAAUCAUUUUUUCUAUGCAGUAGGUCUCAACAGUGGGCUUAAAAUAUUCAGUAAACCCUGUUAUAAACUGAUGUGCUGUCAUCCACGCUUUGUUGUUCUAUUUAUAGAUCAAAGGCAGAGUAGACUUAGCAUAAUUCAUAAGUGCCUUAGGAUUUUUGGAAUGAUAAAUGAGUAUUGGCUUCAACUUAAAGUCAUCAGCUGCAUUACCCCCUAACAAGAGAGUCAUCCUGUCUUUUGAAGUUUUGAAGCCAGGCAUCAACUUCUCUCUAGCUGUGAAACUCCUAUAUGGCAUCUCCUUCCAAUACUAAGGCUGUCUCAUCUACAUUGAUAAUCUGUUAUUUAGUGUAACCACCUUCCAUCAAUUAACUUAGCUAGAUCUUAUGGACAACUUGCUACAGGUUCUACAUCCAUACUUGCUGCUUUACCUUGCACUUUUAUGUUAUGGAGAUGGCAUCUUUACUUAAGCCUCAUGAACCAGCUUCUGCUAGCUUCAAACUUUUCUUCUGCAGCUUCCUCACCUCUCUUAGCUUUCAAAGAAUUUAAGAGAGUUAUGGCCUUCCUCUGGAUUAGGCUUUGGAUUAAGGGAAUGUUGUUGCUGGUUUGAUCUUCUAUCCAGACCACUAAGGCCUUCUUCAUAUCAGCAAUAAGGCUGUUUCAUUUUCUUACCAUUCGUGUAUUCACUGGAGUAGCACUUGUAAUUUCCUUCAAGAACUUUUCCUUUGCAUUCACAACUUGGCUAACUGUUUGGCAUAAGAGGCCUACCUUUUGAUCUAUCUCAGCUUUUGACAUGACUUCCUCACUAAGCUUAAUCAUUUCUAGCUUUUGAUUUAAAGUGAGAGACAUGCGACUCUUCCUUUCACUUGAACACUUAGAGACCCUUGUAGGGUUAUUAACUAGUCUAAUUUCAAUAUUGUCAUGUCUCAAGGAAUAGGGAGGGUUGAGGAAAAGGAGAGAGACUGGAGAAUGGCUGGUCAGUGGAGCAGUCAGAACACACAUUUACCGAUUAAGUUCACUGUCUUAUAUGGAUACAGUUCGUGGCCUCCAAAAGCAAUUACAUCACAGAUCACCAUAACAAAUAUAAUAAUAAUGAAAAAGUUUGAAAUAUUGUGAGAAUUACCAGAGCAUUACACAGAGCCACAAAGUGAGCAUAUGUUGUUAGAAAAAUGGUGCCAAUAGACUUCCUUGAUGCAGGGUUGCCACAAACCUUCAAUUUGUAAAAAAUGCAAUAUCUGCAUAGCACAAUAAAGUGAAAUUCAAUAAAAUGAGGUAUGCCUAUAAACAGAAAUUAAGGGAAUUUGUAAAAAACAGACCAAAUUUACAAGAAAUAUUAAAGGGAGUACUUUAGAUAGAGAACCAAUAUCAUCAGACAAGAACCUGAGAUUAGGACACAGGGCAGCAUUAGCCAGAUGCCAACCUAUAUAAAUAAUUCGAAAAAAUAAAAUAAAGCUAAAAGACUGAGAACAGGAAACCAGAGACGUCAAUCUGUAAAUGAAAAUGUCAAAAGAAAAAGGGGAGUAAACCACGUAGGUACAGAACUUUCAUAUGGAGAGAAAACCAGGGUGAUAUCAAGAAAUAAAAGACUGAUUAAAAGUUGGGAAGAUAAAGGUAAAUUUCAAGGCACUACAAAGAAAGUUAACAAACCUAUUCAUCAAAAUAAAAAAUAAGAAAAACAUAAAGACUCAGUAAACACAAAAUCAAUAACAAUGAAAAGAAAAACACAAACAAAAAGAACUCAGCACAGAAAAUUAAGCAGAACAAAGAAACCAUCAAUAUCACCAAAAAAGUACAACAAAAUGACAGCAGUAAACUCAUAUCUAUCGAUAAUCAUAGUGAAUAUAAAUAGCUUAAAUGCUCCAGUAAAGAGAUUGA
Loxodonta africana (African savanna elephant) is the source of this 4150-nucleotide long non-coding RNA. RefSeq lists it as uncharacterized. The transcript is spliced from 3 exons. NCBI's taxonomy places the organism in Eukaryota, Metazoa, Chordata, Mammalia, Proboscidea, Elephantidae. The record is from RefSeq and is a predicted model, not a curated record.